RNAcentral lists this ribosomal RNA (201 nucleotides) under Bathycoccus prasinos. RNAcentral's name for it is "partial Bacterial large subunit ribosomal RNA". It matches the Rfam family "Bacterial large subunit ribosomal RNA", at positions 216 to 417 of the family's 2925-position model. The record is from RNAcentral. Lineage: Eukaryota; Viridiplantae; Chlorophyta; Mamiellophyceae; Mamiellales; Bathycoccaceae.
AGAAGAAAACAAAAGUGAUUCCGUAAGUAGCGGCGAGCGAACGCGGAUUAGCCCAAACCAGAGUUGUUACGGCAAUUUUGGGGUUGUAGGACUGCGCUGUUGGAUGUUUGAUGAAUCAGAACAAGUUGGAAAGCUUGGCCAUAGACGGUGAUAGCCCGGUACGAGUAAAGAGAAUAAUCCAUAGCAGUAUCCUGAGUAGUG